RNAcentral lists this ribosomal RNA (1063 nucleotides) under Psychroflexus sediminis. RNAcentral describes it as "bacterial SSU rRNA". It matches the Rfam family "Bacterial small subunit ribosomal RNA", at positions 1 to 1061 of the family's 1533-position model. Lineage: Bacteria; Pseudomonadati; Bacteroidota; Flavobacteriia; Flavobacteriales; Flavobacteriaceae. The record is from RNAcentral.
UAACGAUGAAGAGUUUGAUCCUGGCUCAGGAUGAACGCUAGCGGCAGGCCUAACACAUGCAAGUCGAGGGGUAACGUGAGUGCUUGCACUUGACGACGACCGGCGGACGGGUGCGUAACGCGUAUACAAUCUACCUAUUACUAAAAGAUAGCCCAGAGAAAUUUGGAUUAAUAUUUUAUGGCAUUACGACCUGGCAUCAGGUUGUAAUUAAAGGUUACGGUAAUAGAUGAGUAUGCGUCCUAUUAGCUUGAUGGUAAGGUAACGGCUUACCAUGGCUACGAUAGGUAGGGGUCCUGAGAGGGAGAUCCCCCACACUGGUACUGAGACACGGACCAGACUCCUACGGGAGGCAGCAGUGAGGAAUAUUGGACAAUGGGAGCAAUCCUGAUCCAGCCAUGCCGCGUGCAGGAAGACUGCCCUAUGGGUUGUAAACUGCUUUUAUACAGGAAGAAAAAGGUGUACGUGUACACUGUUGACGGUACUGUAAGAAUAAGGAUCGGCUAACUCCGUGCCAGCAGCCGCGGUAAUACGGAGGAUCCAAGCGUUAUCCGGAAUCAUUGGGUUUAAAGGGUCCGUAGGCGGGACAAUAAGUCAGUGGUGAAAGUCUGCAGCUCAACUGUAGAAUUGCCAUUGAUACUGUUGUUCUUGAGUGCUUGUGAAGUGGUUAGAAUGAGUAGUGUAGCGGUGAAAUGCAUAGAUAUUACUCAGAAUACCGAUUGCGAAGGCAGAUCACUAACAAUUCACUGACGCUGAUGGACGAAAGCGUAGGUAGCGAACAGGAUUAGAUACCCUGGUAGUCUACGCCGUAAACGAUGGUUACUAGCUGUUCGGAUCAAUUGCGAUCUGAGUGGCUAAGCGAAAGUGAUAAGUAACCCACCUGGGGAGUACGUUCGCAAGAAUGAAACUCAAAGGAAUUGACGGGGGCCCGCACAAGCGGUGGAGCAUGUGGUUUAAUUCGAUGAUACGCGAGGAACCUUACCAGGGCUUAAAUGCAGUUUGACAGGGGUGGAAACACCUUUUCCUUCGGGCAAAUUGCAAGGUGCUGCAUGGUUGUCGUCAGCUC